RNAcentral lists this ribosomal RNA (468 nucleotides) under uncultured bacterium. RNAcentral's name for it is "partial 16S ribosomal RNA". It matches the Rfam family "Bacterial small subunit ribosomal RNA", at positions 28 to 507 of the family's 1533-position model. The record is from RNAcentral.
GACGAACGCUGGCGGCGUGCUUAACACAUGCCAGUCGAACGGAAAGGCCCUGCUUUUGUGGGGUGCUCGAGUGGCGAACGGGUGAGUAACACGUGAGUAACCUGCCCUUGACUUUGGGAUAACUUCAGGAAACUGGGGCUAAUACCGGAUAGGAGCUCCUGCUGCAUGGUGGGGGUUGGAAAGUUUCGGCGGUUGGGGAUGGACUCGCGGCUUAUCAGCUUGUUGGUGGGGUAGUGGCUUACCAAGGCUUUGACGGGUAGCCGGCCUGAGAGGGUGACCGGCCACAUUGAGACUGAGAUACGGCCCAGACUCCUACGGGAGGCAGCAGUGGGGAAUAUUGCACAAUGGGCGGAAGCCUGAUCCAGCAACGCCGCGUGCGGGAUGACGGCCUUCGGGUUGUAAACCGCUUUCGCCUGUGACGAAGCGUGAGUGACGGUAAUGGGUAAAGAAGCACCGGCUAACUACGUG